This 768-nucleotide ribosomal RNA is filed under the name uncultured archaeon. RNAcentral's name for it is "bacterial SSU rRNA". It matches the Rfam family "Archaeal small subunit ribosomal RNA", at positions 89 to 861 of the family's 1478-position model. The record is from RNAcentral.
CUCAGUAACACGUGGACAAUCUGCCCUAAGGUGGGGAAUAAUCUCGGGAAACUGAGCAUAAUGCCCCAUAGAUCAUGGAUGCUGGAAUGCUUCAUGGUCAAAAGCUCCGGCGCCUUAGGAUGAGUCUGCGGCCUAUCAGGUAGUAGUGGGUGUAAAUGACCCACUAGCCACUGACGGGUACGGGCGUUGGGAGACGUCGCCCGGAGAUGGAUUCUGAGACACGAAUCCAGGCCCUACGGGGCGCAGCAGUUACGAAAACUUGGCAAUGCGGGAAACCGCGACCAGGGAAUUCCAAGUGCAUGCACAUUGUGUAUGCUGUUCCAUUGUCUUAAAAACAUAGGAAGUAAGGGCUGGGUAAGACCGGUGCCAGCCGCCGCGGUAAUACCUGCAGCCCGAGUGGUGGUCGAUAUUAUUGAGCCUAAAGCGUCCGUAGCCGGACCAGUAAAUUCUUGGGUAAAUCGGACAGCUUAACUGUCCGACUUCCGAGGAGACUGCUGGUCUUGGGACUGGGAGAGGUCAGAGGUACUCCAGGGGUAGGGGCUAAAUCCUGUAAUCCUUGGGGGACCACCAGUGGCGAAGGCGUCUGACUAGAACGGAUCCGACGGUAAGGGACGAAACCCUGGGUCGCAAACCGGAUUAGAUACCCGGGUAGUCCAGGGCGUAAACGCUGCAGGCUUGGUGUUGAGGAUCCUACGAGGAUGCUCAGUGCCGGAGUGAAGAUGUUAAGCCUGCCGCUUGGGGAGUACGUCCGCAAGGAUGAAACUAAAG